GUUAGAAGAGGCCUCUCUGCACAACUGUGGGGACAGGGGAGUGUCCUUUAUCCCUUCUGGGCUUGUCUGGUUCUGUUAGAUGCUGGAGAUUUCACCCAGCCUUUCCCUCUUCUCUACUCCUAGCUGCACCGGGGGUACAGGGUCUCAGUGACCCGUGUCUCUCUGCCCUAAGUAUUCAACUCUUAAUUCAGCAGCACCCGGGCACACCUGGGCUCCUGCCCUUCUGCUGGUUUCUGUUCAUCUCCAUGUGCAACCUUAGGGCCUGCUGGAUCCUUUUCCAAACCCUUUGAGGACCACAUAGACCACAUAGACCUGUCCUUUCUUUCUGGUCAUGCUGCUGCUGGCCUUUCCAUUGCUGCUAAAUGGCCACUGUAGGAGGCUGCUUACUUUCAGAAUCAGGCCUGAACAUGGGUACCAGUCUCUAAGUUCAAGUGCAGCCCCUGAGCUCAGGGUACAUACAUCAAGCCCUUUACUUUUCUUUCCCACAGUGGGCAGUGGAAUAGCAAGUGUGCUGGGCUGUAGUCCAAGACCUACAGGAUGGCAAGGAUCCUGACGAUGCUCUGUGCCUCUCAGACAUUGUGGAGAGCGAAGUGCAUGCUGCUGGGAAUGUUUGCUUAUCUCUCUCCGGCAGUGUUCCCCAGAGUCCUGGUCCUGGGCUCUGGCUCCGAGGAGGUUGUGGGUGCUGAGCACCCUUGCCAUGCUGCCUGCAGACUCAGCCCAUCUGCUCCCCAGCGCGCCUUGCCACCCGCAGCCAGACUACACAGGCUGGCUUUGACAAAGUGACAGAAGCUGUAAAAACAGCUGUUUGUCAUUCCCUGCUGCAAAACAAAACAACCAGAAAAAGAGGUUGAGUGAAAUGAAGAAAAGAUAGUUGUUUCAUGUAGAUAAGGAUAUUUUUACUUAUAGAACACUUACUUUCUCUUUUCAUUUCUUUAGUUCCUACUCAACUAUUUCUCUUUUUCUUGCCCUUGCUCCUUCCUUUUUUCCUCCUUCCCC
This 996-nucleotide long non-coding RNA is filed under the name Fukomys damarensis (Damara mole-rat). RNAcentral describes it as "lncRNA (ENSFDAG00000031916.1)". The record is from RNAcentral. Lineage: Eukaryota; Metazoa; Chordata; Mammalia; Rodentia; Bathyergidae.